AGCAGCCGCGGUAAUUCCAGCUCCAAUAGCGUAUAUUAAAGUUGUUGCAGUUAAAAGGCUCGUAGUUGAAUUUCGGGGUUAGUAGGUUGGUCAUGCCUCUGGUAUGUACUGGUCUCACUGAUUCCUCCUUCCUGAUGAACCUUAAUGCCAUUAAUUUGGUGUUUUGGGGAAUUUGGACUGUUACUUUGAAAAAAUUAGAGUGUUUAAAGCAAGCUAACGCUUGAAUACAUUAGCAUGGAAUAAUGAAAUAGGACGUUCGAUCCUAUUUUGUUGGUUUCUAGGAUUGACGUAAUGAUUAAUAGGGAUAGUUGGGGGCAUUAGUAUUCAAUUGUCAGAGGUGAAAUUCUUGGAUUUAUUGAAGACUAACUACUGCGAAAGCAUUUGCCAAGGAUGUUUUCAUUAAUCAAGAACGAAAGUUAGGGGAUCGAAGACGAUCAGAUACCGUCGUAGUCUUAACCAUAAACUAUGCCGACUAGGGAUCGGAUGAUGUUAAUUUUUUAAUGACUCAUUCGGCGCCUUA
Molecule: unclassified non-coding RNA, 520 nt
Filed under: uncultured Glomus
Lineage: Eukaryota; Fungi; Glomeromycota; Glomeromycetes; Glomerales; Glomeraceae
Description: SSU rRNA
Rfam family: Eukaryotic small subunit ribosomal RNA
Source: RNAcentral